GACGAACCGUCCAAACGUUAUUCGGAAUCACUGGGCUUACAGAGUUCGUAGGCGGUCUGGAAAGUUGGGUGUGAAAUCCCUCGGCUCAACCGAGGAACUGCGCUUGAAACUACCAGACUCGAGGGAGAUAGAGGAAAGCGGAACUGAUGGUGGAGCGGUGAAAUGCGUUGAUAUCAUCAGGAACACCGGUGGCGAAGGCGGCUUUCUGGGUCUUUCCUGACGCUGAGGAACGAAAGCUAGGGGAGCGAACGGG
RNAcentral lists this ribosomal RNA (253 nucleotides) under uncultured bacterium. Its description in RNAcentral is "partial 16S ribosomal RNA". It matches the Rfam family "Bacterial small subunit ribosomal RNA", at positions 524 to 776 of the family's 1533-position model. The record is from RNAcentral.